GUUACAAAGACCAAACCAGCAUGGCCAAUCUAUAGAAUAGAAAAAUUUGUUAAAACCAGGGCUCCCCAAAUAAUAUGAAGCAUAGGCGUAGGAAGCGGGGGGGGGGACAUGUGCCCCCCAAUAUUGGAGAGAGUCACAUUCGUCCCCCCCAAUAAUUUCACCGCUGUUGCGAAGAAUUUUAAAAUCUUCCACUCGCGUGCUUUUAUUUUAUUUAUUUUAUCACAACAGCGCAUUCAGCAGAGCGCUUCCUCCCCCUCCCCCCUCUGAACGGCUCAGAGUAAAGGCAGCAGCAGACGGAGUCAGAAACUCCGUUUGAAUGAGGUAAACUGUCUGUCAGGAAUGUUGCCAUGAAUAUCGCUCGUUUAUAACAUCUUGUUGUCAGUUUACUUUCAUAUAUAGAACUAAAUCUUUUAGGUUAAGCCGUUUUAAUUCUGGGAUAGUCACAUGUCCAAAAUUUUACUGCUAACUUUGUUUAAAAGUUAGCUAGUCUAGUCACAAUGAUUUAGAAUGAGACUGAAACAGCAGCGAAAUUAGCCUUUUUAUUAUUUAAAGUGAGCAACAUCUGAUCAUACUCGACCACUUAACAUGUAUUUAUAUAUUAUAUUAUUUAGAUAUUUAGGAGAACAGCAGUGCUAGAAUGAUGUUGAAGAAAGGUGAAGAAGCUCUGGUGAGGUCUUCAUUUAGUUUAUUGAAAUAUGUAUUAACUGUUUUUAAUUUUUAAAUAAACUAUUUAUGAGAGGAGCAGGUCAGGGAAGACAUAAGAGAGCCAGGUGGAGUUUCAGUGUAAAGAUAUAAAAUUAUAUUAAUUAAUUAUAUUAAAAAUUAUAUUAAUUACAGGAGACAAUAAAAAAAGUGCUUGAGGAGAGGUUUAAAAAUAAAUUAGUGAAAAUUUUUGCUACACAGUAAAAAGGGUUGAGAUGUAUAAUAAUGCAUACAUCUGAAAAUUAAGUUGUUUAAAUUCUCAUUCUGUAU
This is a long non-coding RNA of Poecilia latipinna (sailfin molly), 972 nucleotides long. RefSeq lists it as uncharacterized. Lineage: Eukaryota; Metazoa; Chordata; Actinopteri; Cyprinodontiformes; Poeciliidae. The record is from RefSeq and is a predicted model, not a curated record. The transcript has 2 exons.